GAAAUGUUGGAGUUGAAUUUUAAACUUUUACGGCUUUUUAUGUCAUCCACAACCCGCCCCCCUCUUGUUAGGGCCUUUUCGUCCUCUAACCAUAGAGGCUUCUCCUCUCUCGCUCUGGAAUCUCAUUAGAAUUAUUCUUCAGCAUCUAUCUUUCAAUCUUUGCAUUUCUUUCUUUUUUUUCUUAACCUUUAGCUUUGUAUAAAUUUUAGAUUAUAUUUCAUUAGAUUAGAUUAGAUUAGCAGAAACUGGUAGAUCACCAUGACUUCAUUCAUCAACGUCGACGCUCCCCAACUGCCUACCGCUCUUUCCCAUUUAGCCAUUCAAGAUCAGGUGGAAGUGGAAACUAAGGUGGAGAUUCAUGAAAAACCUUGUGGGAAUCAUGGUGGAGUUUGUGCCAUAUGCUUGGAUAAGAUUGUGCUUCAGGAAACUGCUCUUAUAAAAGGUUGUGAGCACGCCUACUGUGUGACCUGUAUCCUUCGAUGGGCCACAUACAGUGAGAAACCGACCUGUCCUCAAUGUAAAUAUCCAUUUGAGUUUCUUAAUGUUCAUCGUUCUCUUGAUGGCAGGUAAGCAAUACUUAGCAUCAUUCAGAGUUCUUUUACUCGGCAUACGUCAUCUGUGAAAUAUUCAGUGAAUGAUCAGAUCAAUUUGUAAAUUUGGCAUCCAGAAGUAUACUGGAAAUGUCUUUUCGUCAUCUUUUAUCCAUGUUAUUUACAUCUAGUACAUUUUUCCUCUCUCUCUCUCUCUAAAAAAUUUAUAUUUUAAUAAUGUUGUUUAUUUCUUCAAUUCAACAGCAUCCAGGAUUACAUGUUUGAAGAAAGUGUGUGCCUCCUGCUUAGAGCUGCAUGGUUUAAACCUUUGAUUGUAGAGGAUCAUCAUGAAGAUGUUUAUGAUGAUUUAGAGGAUUAUUAUCCAUAUGAAUAUGAGGAUGAUGAGGAUGAUUUAGAUGAAGUUUACUUAAGCCAUUCACCAAACCUUCGUAUUGGUAAUCGGAGGUGGGGAGACAAUGGGUAUGUUAGGGCAGGGCGUCAAGAAGCAAGGCCGGUCUAUCGACCAAACAGCCAGGACUCAGGUGCUAGUUCAUCACGUGAUCCAAAUAAGAAAGAGGCUCCAAAGGAUAGAACCGGCCGACGUGCAAAGAGGACACUUAAGCGUGAAGCUGCUGACAAGGCAGCCGCGGCAAAACAUCAACAGCACUUGGCAAGGUUGGGCCGGAAGUGAUUCUGUGUCUUGUCCCUGUCUCUUUAUGCAAUUAGUUCAUAAUCCUGAAACCAUGAAUCUGGUCUUUGUACAGUAUUUCCUUUUCUCUUAACUUUGUUAAAUAAUGACAUGGUAAUGAGUCGGGCAUCAUGGGGUUAAGUGGGUCGUGUAUCAUUCAAAAUUUAAUCUUCAAUCAUUCAAAAAAUCUCAGAAUCCUGUUCUGAAUCUCUAUUACUAUUCAUUUGAAAGCUUUCAUCGAUGUUUAACUGCCCUUCCCAAUACAUGACUAACUAGAUAUUUC
RNAcentral lists this unclassified non-coding RNA (1501 nucleotides) under Hevea brasiliensis (rubber tree). The record is from RNAcentral. Lineage: Eukaryota; Viridiplantae; Streptophyta; Magnoliopsida; Malpighiales; Euphorbiaceae.